This 501-nucleotide ribosomal RNA is filed under the name uncultured bacterium. RNAcentral's name for it is "partial 16S ribosomal RNA". It matches the Rfam family "Bacterial small subunit ribosomal RNA", at positions 899 to 1397 of the family's 1533-position model. The record is from RNAcentral.
ACUCAAAUGAAUUGACGGGGGCCCGCACAAGCGGUGGAGCAUGUGGUUCAAUUCGAAGCAACGCGCAGAACCUUACCAGGCCUUGACAUCCCGGUCGCGGCCCCUUGAAAGAGGGGCCUUCAGUUCGGCUGGACCGGUGACAGGUGCUGCAUGGCUGUCGUCAGCUCGUGUCGUGAGAUGUUGGGUUAAGUCCCGCAACGAGCGCAACCCUCGCCCUUAGUUGCCAUCAUUUAGUUGGGCACUCUAAGGGGACUGCCGGUGAUAAGCCGCGAGGAAGGUGGGGAUGACGUCAAGUCCUCAUGGCCCUUACGGCCUGGGCUACACACGUGCUACAAUGGCGGUGACAAUGGGCAGCAAUGGCGCGAGCCGGAGCUAAUCUCAAAAAGCCGUCUCAGUUCGGAUUGCACUCUGCAACUCGGGUGCAUGAAGUUGGAAUCGCUAGUAAUCGUGGAUCAGCAUGCCACGGUGAAUACGUUCCCGGGCCUUGUACACACCGCCCGU